GAAUCGAACCUAACAUCCUCAUGGACACUAGGUCAGGUUUUUAAUCCACCGAGCCACAGAGGGAACUCCCAUAUAUUUCUUUUAAAUAAGAAGGGGGAAGAUGUUAUUCUUGAUUGAUUUGAAAGUAUGUCUCCAAUUUUACUAUGUUUUUGCAAAGAGUUCCAAAUUCCUAGGUAGAGACCCAUUCUCCUUGAAAGAUGAAGUAACUUAAACACUGGUGAGCUGCUGGGAAUGUGCCAAAGGAAUACAGUACUUGGGAGGGAGGAAGCCUAUGGGUAGAUGUGUGUUGCUGAAAUGACUUACUGGAAAAUGGAAUCCCAGCUGCUAGUACCUGCCUCGAUGUGUAGCCUUGUGAGGAGGGAAUGCCUGGACAAGCUGAAAGCACAGGAUCUGGCAUAUCAUCGGUGCUCCAUGACUGCUUCCCUCCAUCCCUCCCUCCUUGUUUUCCCAGGGGAUUCUGAGGCCACUGUGAUCCCUCUGUUAGCUCACUCAUGCAGUCACUUUUAGCUUUAAUAGUUUUAUUCACUUACCAAAUGCUAGUUUCAGAAUAUACCUUAGUAAGAAGAGAGUGAGUGGUAUUUGGUUCAGAUAGUUUUUCUGCUUUGUUUCAGUGUGACUGACUACCUUCAAGUUGGAUAUAGUAGAGGCUGAAGUUAUGGGAUGAGAGUUUCUCCUCUGUGAAUUUGAAUGGUUGGAAUCAGGUGGCUCUCUCUCCCUCAUCUUAUGGGGGAUACUGGGGACCAUUUUUCUCUGGGUGCUUCUUACCUGGUGUGAGAAGAUGCUGGGCUCCGAAUGGGAGAUUUGCACAGGGCUAUGGUAAGCCAAAAGGGUAUUCAGAAAAAUUAAUAAUAUGUCUUGAAGACCAAGUAACACUCAAAAACUUCAGUAAAAGCAGGAUCUCUUGUGUAGGCUGUGUGCUCAGCUCCAGCCACCAUGCCACUGGGCCCCAAAGACUGAAAAAGACACCUGGGAAAAGCAACUUUUCAGAUUCAUUGGCUUUGGAAUUGGUUUGUGACUUAUAAACUCGACUUAGAACAUAAUGAUGUCAUUUCCAUCUUCGCAAAUGUGGAAUACUCUCAAAUCUCAGCUGCAGGGGUGGCUUUAUGAGAUGAAAUUGCUCCAUGGUGCUUUAAAUGGAAAUUGCUGCAUCAGCUACAUGGGACUUUCUGUUCUGGAAGCUAAUUGAAAUUGCUCUGGCAGAUGCCGGAAACAAAUGCUGGGUUAUAUUAGUUUAUGGGGGUCACUUUCUCUACUGUGUCACAUGUAAAACCUGUCACACUGGCCUGGAUUCUAGGAAAGCCCGCUGGUCUAGGAGAAAGAGGGUUUGGCCACAAUCUCACAUCCAGUACAUACUUCUGGUGAUGUUCCAGCCCUGCCUGGAAUAAUAAUAAUAAUACCUUCCUCCCAUGACGACCACACAGGUUUGUUGACAAGAUUUAAUGUGAAAGUGUUUAAAAGGCAAAACAUACUGGGCAGAUGAGUCAUUCAAUUUUUAAUACGGAUUUUGUCCUCCUAUCCAUAUUAAAUCUUUUAUUCAGUAGAUAUUUAUGGCGUGCCUAAUAAUAAUGGUUACAUUUUAUUGCAUGCCUAGAAUAUGCCAGAACACUCCAUUUUUUUUUUAAUGUUUUCACUCAUUUAAUCUUCACAAUAGCUCUACAGUUUGUUUUAUCAGUGAGAAAACUGCUGUCACUGAGGCAAAGAGGUUAAAUGAUUUGAUCAACAUCUGCUGAGCGCUUUAACUAUGCUUGCACUGUGCCGGAUGUCGAGAGCACACAGAUCGAUAAGAUACAGCCCGAAGCACAAGGACGUUAAAUCCUAGUUGGAGGGAGAACAAGAAGAGAAAAACUGACCAGGCUAAAGAUGGGAAUCUGCUUGGUGCUGGAGGAGCCUCGUGGAAAGACAUCUGGUAGCACUUUACACAAAUAGUGGGGGAGUGGGGGUGAGUCUAAGGGGUUAGGAGGAAGGUGGGACUAAAGGGGGCCUGAGCAUACACAGGGCAGCUGGACUUUGAAGUCAGUGGUUAUCAGAGGUCAAAGGAAAGAGAGUUAUCAGGAACUGAACAGACAAAGCAAGGUGAGGUCAGAAGCUUAGGGAGACUGUCCACUCCAUAUGGCCGUAUGUCCACAGCAGCCCUAUUACCCAGACCUUAAUGCGGAACCCACUAUCUAGAGAGCUUCAGUUUCUGCUGCAGCUUGGAACCAGUGACUCAGUUGACCAAUGUGGCGGGAUUCCUCAGUGUCCCUGGCCAUUUCAUGGGGGUCAUGAGUAUAGAAAGGACAUUUGAUGAGAUCAUCCAGGCUUGUUCUCCUGACCAUCCCAUUUCUCAGUAAGUCAUUUGAUCAUCACACGCCUACCUACAGGAUUCAUCUCUUCCAAAUAUUGUAUUCCUUUGGUACAUUCCAGGGGCUCAGCAAUAUUUUUUAAGUUAGUUCAUCCUUUUCUCAGCAUGCAGCAGCCUGAUAUGGAAUCUCAGCUCCCAAACCAGGGAUUGAACCUGGGCCUCAGCAGUGAAAGCAUCAAGUCCCAACUACUAACCCACCAUAGAACUCGCCCUAAGUUAUUUUGUCUUUUAAGGAGAAUGUACUUCUAACCAGGAAGUUGGAACUCUUUGCAAAACAGUAAAAUGAGAGAUAUGCUUUCUAGCUAUUCAAAAAUAGUAUCUUCCCAUUCUUUUUUUUUUUUUUUCCUUGUCUUUUUUUAGGGCUGCACCCACAGCAUAUGGAAGUGCCCAGGCUAGGGGUCAAAUCUGAGCUGUAACUGCUGGCCUAUACCACAGCCACAACAAUGUGGGAUCUGAGCCAUGUCUGCGACCUACUCCACAACUCACGGCAGUUCCGGAUCCUUAACCCAUCGAGAGAGGCCAGGGAUCAAACCCACAUCCUCAUGGAUUCGUUGUUGCCAUGGAGCCACGAUAGGAGCUCCCACAUUUUCCCCAUUCUUAUUUAAAAGAAAUAUUUGAAAUUGGAAAAUUGAAAUAAAAAUAGAAAGUCACCAUCUACUUGAAAUGAUUUAAACACUUCAUUGAACAUUGCAUUAUGUCUGAACUUCCUAGUAGGCAAGGUAAAAGGGAAAUGGACUGGAUUAUUUAGUUCUUUAGACCUGAAGGAGCUGAGUACAACACUUUGAUCUGGAGAGAAGCUUUCCUUAGGUCUAUGCAAGCGUUUUCUAUAGAAGCAUGGCGAAUAUGCUACCCCAAAGGGUACUUUUAGGUAAAGAUGCUCCUUGACAUUUUUCCAAAGUUGCAAAUUGAUACAAGAAGAGAUGUUUGGUUUUUGUUUGUAAAUGAAUGAACUGGAGGGGAAAUUGUACCACUUCUGCACUGUGAUUUCUAAGAGUGAGGGAGAAUUGCCCCCUUCUGAAAGUUUUGAGAAACAGAGCAGAGAGGGGAAAACUGUUCUCACUAUCAGGGACUAGAGAUACCUCUUUUGAGUGUGAUGGGCUGGAGUGUUUGGGUCAUGGUCAUUGUUGUCCUGUAGGAAGGGCCUCCAUGGCAGAGCUAGGCCGCCUCGUGAGGGAGGGCGCCCUCUAGUGGUGAUUACCCCAAAGGACUGACACCCAGGUCAAUAGGGCUCUCGGAGGCCCUGCAGGCUUGUGCUGGUGACACCUAGGAGCCUGGGGAAGCUUCCACUGAUAGUCUUUUCUGGUGAACAGCUUUGUGAUAUGUUAUCACCCUUUCAGUUUUUGUGGAUUCUGUAGGAGGUGGGAUGCAUGUCAUCACCAUCGGUGGACUGUUGGUGCUUCUUCCUUGGAAGCAUGUGUAACCCUUGCUGGAAGGAGCACUGUGCUCUUCCUCGGCCCUGGGCAGCCCCGAGGGCUCAUCGCUGCCUUUUCACUAACUCUCCUGCCUCCAUUCGUCCAGCCUGCCCUCUGCUCCGCUUCAGCAACUCAGAGCGCAACCUGCAUCGUUCACCUGCUCCUUUUCUUCCCAGGGCCCCUUACCCUUGUCCUCCUCAGAGGUUCUAGUUCUGUCUUAUUCCUGUAGGACCCCUCGGCCACCGACUUGGACCCCUUCCCACCAAGCGCUGCUUCAGAACCGAGAGGCCACAGUGCAGUGUUUGAUUUGCCCUUGGGUCCUGCAAGCUGAGCGCGGCAGCCUGGGGAGGGAUUCACAGGGAGAGGAGAGGAGACACAGGCAUAACUAAUUCUUCUUCAAAUGUCGUAAGAGCUGGUGUCAAUUACGGAGGGAGAAAACAUUUCCAAUAGGACCCAUAGAGGCUUCACGAAGGAGACUCUUCCCUAAAGCAACGAGCGCUUCUCCCCUAGUGGGUUGGGAACAGGAUACAGGUGAACUCAAUAGCCAUCGGCUCAGCCCGUGCACUCAGCCCCUGGAGGACCUGGCAGGCCUGGAGUUACCAGUAAGACCAGUUUGCCUCGGUGGGCUGUGCAGACGCUGUUAUUUCCCCUGUGUAUCCGGGUGCGAAGAAGGUAAGAACACUCUUUUCAAGACAGGCUAGAUUGGGACGUCAGGAAAGUGGGUCUGCGGGGGAGUUCCGGGGCAGUCAAGGUUGGACAGAGAAAGUCGAGAUGUUUCUGUGUUUUUACGCGGUUUUGGAUGUGACUGUGCUCCGUGCGUGUCGCAGUGGCCAGCGCGGCUGCAAAGAUGGGUCAGGGCGUCACCACACAGGCCAGGCUCCUGGCCUUGAGUUGUACUUUGCAGUCGGGGUAGUCGGUGCAGGUUUAUGCCUAGUGGAGGGAUUUAAUUUGAGCAAAGCUUCUGGUGUGCUCAGACACCUCUCCCGCGAGAAAGGGGAGAGAGGCUGGAGAAGCUGGAGGAGGUUUUGCAAUUGUGUACGUGAGAAAUAAGGGAGGGAUGGAGUCCUUCAUUGUCAAAGGCACCAAGAAACUGGUUCCUGAGUCUCACGGCCAGAGACCAGCCCCAAAGGAGUACAGUUAAGUGGCUCCAAUCUCACAUUCUUGGGCAGAAGGUGUGGCCUGCUGUAAUUAGCUCUCAGGAUGGUGAGGGUACAGUGUACAAGGCUGGCAGCUGUGUGUGGGGGUGGGGGAAAGGGGGCAGCAGGUCUCUAUGAGCUGCCCAGACCCCCCAGAACACCUGUGCUCUUCUUACAUCCUUGUCGCUUACUUGGCUAUCAUUUUGCAAACCCCCCCCCGCCCCGCCCCACAUUCAGUAGGUCUCCUAAUGGAGACUUAACCACCUAUGACAUUAUUUUCAUGUUAAAAUCUUUAUGCUAAUACCCAAGGACUUUGACCCCCAAAAGUGCAUGUCUGUAUUUUAGGACCUAUGCUUUUGCACUGCAGCGAAGACUGUUCUAGCCUUGUAAGGGGUCUUUGGCCUCCUCCCCGACUGAAGCGUAUACAGGAAGGAAUGGGAGAGAUGGAGUCCUCUGAUAUUAUCUCUGCUGUUUCCAUGAUUUAUUUUCCCGUUAGAACAUUUUCAUCGAAGGAAACAAUAUAACUCAGCAGAUCCUUGCAACAAUUCUUCCUAAAAACAGAAUGUAUUGUAGAAAAACAAGCGUUUGCUCAUCAUAACUCUGACCGCAUUAUGCCUAGUGUAUCUGCACAUUUAUGAUCUCAAAGGGCCAUUAAAUUUAAGUAAAAUUGCACACAUUAGAUAAAUGCAGAACAGGUAAAUGGUAGAUGCCAGUUUCAAUUAGAGUGAAAUUUAACAGAGGGCAUAUACAUGUGUGUUUUAUGGUAUUGAGUUCCUGGGUAGAUUUCUUUUAUUUUCCAAAUUUUAGUAAUUCUGAAAUCCAAGGAGGCAAGUAUCUAAAAACCCCCAGUUAGUCUUACAAGGAACCUGAAAGUGGGUCCUGGCUGGGGUGUGCAUAGCUGUGCCCCCUCCCCAGGAAUGUAGAGUUUCCCCAGUAGCAGGGGCCUCAGGAACCGUGGCUUAUCUGCCUGUAGCAUUGGUUUUGUUGAAUGUGAAGUAAUUAAAAUAUUAUUUUUAUGUUAAAGCGAACAGGUACAUUAGAAUAUAUGAUACAUAUAUAAUGCAAGAGGAACUUGAUUUUUUAAAUUAAAAAUUUUUCAAAUUAAAACCUGCCAGAUGGAGUUCCUGUGGUGGCUCAGUGGGUUAAGAACCUGACUAGUAUCCAUGAAGAUGAGGGUUCGAUCCCUGGCCUUGCUCAGUGGGUUAAGGGUCUGGUUGCAGCAAGCUGAGGCGUGGGUCACAGAUGCAGCUCGGAUCUGGCGUGGCUGUGGCUGUGGCAUAGGCUGGCAGCUAUAGCUCUGAUUUUACCCUAGCCUGGGAACUUCCAUAUGCCACAG
Molecule: long non-coding RNA, 6225 nt
Filed under: Sus scrofa (pig)
Lineage: Eukaryota; Metazoa; Chordata; Mammalia; Artiodactyla; Suidae
Description: lncRNA (ENSSSCG00000055680.1)
Source: RNAcentral